RNAcentral lists this ribosomal RNA (111 nucleotides) under uncultured Psychrobium sp. Lineage: Bacteria; Pseudomonadati; Pseudomonadota; Gammaproteobacteria; Alteromonadales; Shewanellaceae. The record is from RNAcentral.
GGUAACCAUAGCAAGUUGGUCCCACCUGAUCCCAUUCCGAACUCAGUAGUGAAACGACUUAGCGCCGAUGGUAGUGUGGGGCUUCCCCAUGUGAGAGUAGGACAUUGCCAG